AUUGAACGCUGGCGGCAUGCCUUACACAUGCAAGUCGAGCGGCAGCGCGCGGGCAACCCUGGCGGCGAGCGGCGGACGGGUGAGUAAUACAUCGGAACGUGUCCUUUCGUGGGGGAUAACCAGUCGAAAGACUGGCUAAUACCGCAUGAGAUCUCACGAUGAAAGCGGGGGACCGCAAGGCCUCGCGCGAUUGGAGCGGCCGAUGUCGGAUUAGCUAGUUGGCGGGGUAAAAGCCCACCAAGGCGACGAUCCGUAGCUGGUUUGAGAGAACGACCAGCCACACUGGGACUGAGAAACGGCCCAGACUCCUACGGGAGGCAGCAGUGGGGAAUUUUGGACAAUGGGGGCAACCCUGAUCCAGCCAUGCCGCGUGUGUGAAGAAGGCCUUCGGGUUGUAAAGCACUUUCGGCCGGAACGAAAUCGCGCGGAUUAAUAACCCGCGUGGAUGACGGUACCGGAAGAAGAAGCACCGGCUAACUACGUGCCAGCCGCCGCAGUAA
Molecule: ribosomal RNA, 500 nt
Filed under: uncultured bacterium
Lineage: Bacteria
Description: partial 16S ribosomal RNA
Rfam family: Bacterial small subunit ribosomal RNA
Source: RNAcentral